GCAAUCGUGGUCCAACGGUUAAGAUUUCCGCCUUCCAAGCGGGAGACCCGGGUUCGACUCCCGGCGAUUGCAC
RNAcentral lists this transfer RNA (73 nucleotides) under Trypanosoma equiperdum. Its description in RNAcentral is "Gly transfer RNA (tcc)". It matches the Rfam family "tRNA". From Rfam's summary of the family: Transfer RNA (tRNA) molecules are approximately 80 nucleotides in length. Their secondary structure includes four short double-helical elements and three loops (D, anti-codon, and T loops). Lineage: Eukaryota; Euglenozoa; Kinetoplastea; Trypanosomatida; Trypanosomatidae. The record is from RNAcentral.